CGGCCGGCCCGGCGCUUCCUGUUACGGGUUGUAUCCGAGACAGAAACAGAAACAGCUGGUGCCAGCGGCUCGGGGAGGAAGAGGAAGUGGCUCCCGGAGCGGCAUCCUCUCUGGAGAAACCGGGAGCCGGGAACCGCAGCCGGGGCCACCCCCGGCCCCCGCUUGGGGGCGCGGAGGCGGGAGGAAGGCUGGCGACCUGGUGGCGGCUCGGCAGUAUUUGUCCUUUUGUGUGAAGCAGUUUAAUCUAAAGUGGUGUCCCAGAAGUCAACUGAAACUUGCUGUGCGAGAUAACAGACUUCAUGUAUGUUAAGCGUUGUAUCAGAUCCUUUGGGAAUCAGUGUUGUACACCAGCCUAAAUGUACCUGGAGUUAUUGUCUUUUUAAGAAAUCUGAAGAAUGUUGUUCCUUCUGCAGGAACCUUCAUGCUGAGAUGACCCUAGAUUGUUAGUAUGUCACAGUAAGAUGCCUUAAUGAAGGUAGUCAGAGUGCAGAUAACUGCCAACCUUAAAUUGAUAUAAACACAGCAAAUACAAGGGAAUAAUCAGAUCACAAGGAAGUCAGAUUCUGUGGGUAGAUUUCUGGGAGGAAGGAGCAAGAAGACAAAGGGUGAAGAAGCAAAAAGAAAAUGGACUUAGCAGUGAGAUGGACAUGUCUCCACCAUCUUGCCGCUCAAACUAACAACAAUCAUUCAAAAGCCAUCCCUAAAUCGGUGAAAUAUAUAUAU
This is a long non-coding RNA of Myotis daubentonii (Daubenton's bat), 723 nucleotides long. RefSeq lists it as uncharacterized. NCBI's taxonomy places the organism in Eukaryota, Metazoa, Chordata, Mammalia, Chiroptera, Vespertilionidae. The record is from RefSeq and is a predicted model, not a curated record.